UGGGGAAUUUUGGACAAUGGGCGCAAGCCUGAUCCAGCAAUGCCGCGUGAGUGAAGAAGGCCUUCGGGUUGUAAAGCUCUUUUGUCAGGGAAGAAACGGCUCGGGCUAAUAUCCUGGGCUAAUGACGGUACCUGAAGAAUAAGCACCGGCUAACUACGUGCCAGCAGCCGCGGUAAUACGUAGGGUGCAAGCGUUAAUCGGAAUUACUGGGCGUAAAGCGUGCGCAGGCGGUUUUGUAAGUCUGACGUGAAAGCCCCGGGCUUAACCUGGGAAUUGCGUUGGAGACUGCAAGGCUUGAAUCUGGCAGAGGGGGGUAGAAUUCCACGUGUAGCAGUGAAAUGCGUAGAGAUGUGGAGGAACACCGAUGGCGAAGGCAGCCCCCUGGGUCAAGAUUGACGCU
Molecule: ribosomal RNA, 400 nt
Filed under: uncultured bacterium
Lineage: Bacteria
Description: bacterial SSU rRNA
Rfam family: Bacterial small subunit ribosomal RNA
Source: RNAcentral